CUUCACUUUCCCCAUUCCGUAGUCUUCUCGACUUCUCCGUUUUCUCUUCUCCACUCAUCUCUACUUUCACUAAGAAAUGUUCCUCUUGCCCGAUCCCCUUUGUCCUAUCCUUAUCAUCUCUUCUCACUUAAAAAUUGGUGUUACCGGAUGGCUCCCAUCAGCUUGCUCUCUUGAUCCGCAUCAUUGAGGUUGCUCGUCCUCACCUGAAGCCACCACCGCUCAUGCUGCCACAGGGUGACCAUCGACGGCGGCUGGUUUGGCUCCUCGCCCGCAGCCUCUUGGAUCCAGCUUCGGUAUGAGGAUGGCGGCGGCAUUUUCUUCCCCAAGCGCGCAAGCCAAACACAUCGCCGCUAUUUCUGCGUGAGGCAGCUCAACACAUCGUCCACAUCCUCUACAGCGGAAACAUUCUUCGAAGUUCGAACUGCAGAUGGAGCUGAUGGCACUAAGAUAGGAACCCACUAUCGAAUUUGAGAUGGUACUUACUGGAGAUGGUCUGAUUGCUCGCCGGAGCCGGCUGGUGUCCGCUGGAAGAAGACAAUGCCGAAGUGCCACUGGUUGGAGGAUGUUGACUUCGAAGUGUCAUUCGCCGGAGAAAGAUGAUGUACAAGGUGUAACCUACAAUCUAGAGGACAAUUAAACCUUGAGGUGGGAGUGCUCUGUUUGGGCAGAUCGAAUCUCUGUACAUUAUUGUGAGAGUUCGGAGAGAUUGCAUCUCCAAACUUUGUUUUUGCGCCAGUUUUUUUAUUGUGGGAUGGUUUGAUGGCUCAUGGGAUGGUCGAACCUAUUGGGAUCAUGAGAUUUAUGUUGUGGGAUGCUCUAAUCGCCCAACCUAUUGGGGUCGUGAGAUUGUAAUUGUGGGUUGUUUUUUUUAACUGAUGGUGGGAUGUUUUUUUUU
This is an RNA transcript of Triticum aestivum (bread wheat), 895 nucleotides long. RefSeq lists it as uncharacterized. NCBI's taxonomy places the organism in Eukaryota, Viridiplantae, Streptophyta, Magnoliopsida, Poales, Poaceae. The record is from RefSeq and is a predicted model, not a curated record. The transcript is spliced from 4 exons.